GUCCACUGAGAGCGCAACGUUUGUUUUCGAAUCUCUAAUAAGUUAAACACGUGUUUUCUCUUCUAAUUUCAAAUCCUAGUGGAUAAGAUAUCAUCAUCGUUCGAUAGUUAUCGUUAAGUGUAAUAAAUGAACUGUUUCGAAGCAAGAAAAAAAUUAAUUUCGAAUAAUCUCACGUGGAAAAGUGUUAAAGCGAUCUCUUACGAUCUUGUGUACGUUUCGCGUGUCAAAGUAUGUGUGACAAAUUAUUGGGAAUUUACUCGAAAUAUAUCGAUGCACGGAAAGAUCGUAAAAUCGUUAUUAUGAGCACGAGUCUUAACGUUGGAGCCUCGGGAGCGUUAUGGGAUCGUUAGACAACUCGUCGGCCGGUGAAGAAAGGACGACAAGAAUGUCCUGCGAGAAGGCAUCACGACGCCUGAGAUAUCUGAUAGCAAAGGCCAAAAGAUUGGGUCUAACACCGAAGGAAGUCGCGGAGUUACCGGCGAUAAAGAGACUCGUACCGGGACGCGUUAUGUCGACCACGAGGACGACAUUAUUUAUGAUCGUCCUGAUCCUUGGAGGAAGCCUUAUACUUGCUUUCCUUUGUGCCCCUUGCAUCGCCAGAAGCAGAACCUGAGGAAGGAAGAAUACGCUACUACACCGCUAACUCGAGGACGUCUAUGAGAUCUACGAUUCUUUGGAAACUAAAUAUGCUCGUCGUGUAUCCUACACGAUUUUAUUUCAAAAGCGUAUAAAAAAAAAUAUAUAUAUAUAAUAAAAAAUAAAAAAGAAAGGAAAAGAAAAAUCUCUUACGAACGCUAAUGUGACGUUAAGAAAUCGGUGAUAAAUGAGUGACCGUGACGAAGGUAGAACGAUCUUUAUCCCACGGACUAACAAAUUGAUCGGAGGUGUGAAUCGUGGUGAUACUAGAUAUAUAAUACUUGGUAGUUACAUUGUAAACAAAAGGAUAUAAGCAGAAAGACAGUUCCUUAUUGUGUUAUAACUCGGUUGCUUUUCUCUUACGCUUCUCAUCUUUCUUUUCCUUUUGUCUUUUUUUUUGCUCUCUCUCUCUCUCUCUCUCUCUCUCUCUCUCUCUCUCUCUCUCUCUCUCUUUCUCAAAUUAUAAAGAAACUUUUUAUCAAAGUAAAGGAGUGUACCAGAAGGAGUAUGUCUUUCAUUUUACUUCAUAUAUUUUUUAUUUUUUAUUUUUUUUUUAUUUCUUUUUCAUAGAUAUACUUGCCAGGUUAGUUUAAGUGUAAUACGUGGUGUAGCAUAAAAGUAAUGCGAGAUUUAUAACGUAUAAAAUUUUACCGUAAACUUUUUAUAAUUCUAGGAUUUUCAUUUUUACGAAAACAAAUAAACAUUUACGCGUAUGCGAAUGUUUCUAAAAGGCUAGAAUUCUGUUAGAAAACGUCGGUUAAUUUACCGUAAACGUUAGGUAUAAAUAAGCAACAAUCAGUAAUUAAUAUCACAAUAAAUCAACGUACAUUAAAUACUAUAGAAAAUCCAACUAAAUUCAUUAUCGCCUUUAACAAAAUUAAUCCAAUUACUUUUACGCCACAUCGCAUAUCUGCGUUAUUUAUGUUACAUUUGAAAAUGAGAGCAUCGAUAAAUUGGACAAUAUAAUUGUAUAAGUAUAAACGUGUUUCUCCGGGAGUAAUGUCAAUGAUUCGCCCGUGUAUGAUUCGACUAAUUGAAAAAAAAAAAGAAAAAAGAAAAAAAAAAGAAAAAAAAGAAAAAGAAAAAAAAAAGUACCUAUCCAAUUGAAUUGUAUAACGCUAAUUAGGAUUUCGCUCGAACCGUACCAAUGAUUUUCGAACGUUUUAUCGGAGUCGUGUGAAACUUUACUUUUAUAUGUGAUCAAAUAAAUUUUUAGGAAACUCAAAAAAGAUCUUAUAUUUAUUUCCUAUUUGCUUUGACCUACAUUAAUAACCUUGGACGAAGUAAACACAUUUUUUUCAAUACUUUCCAUGAGAAAAAAAAGGACAAAAUAAAAAUUAAAAGAUAUUAUUAAACAUGUAAAAAUAUUAAGUUUAACGAUCGAACAUUUUUUUCUGUUUACAUUACAUGCAAGCUGUUAUUUUAUUGUGAAAUAAUGAACUCUCUUUAUCAC
Vespa velutina is the source of this 2089-nucleotide long non-coding RNA. RefSeq lists it as uncharacterized. The record is from RefSeq and is a predicted model, not a curated record. NCBI's taxonomy places the organism in Eukaryota, Metazoa, Arthropoda, Insecta, Hymenoptera, Vespidae. The transcript is spliced from 3 exons.